Molecule: long non-coding RNA, 404 nt
Organism: Hemicordylus capensis (graceful crag lizard)
Lineage: Eukaryota; Metazoa; Chordata; Lepidosauria; Squamata; Cordylidae
Exons: 3
Source: RefSeq, a predicted model, not a curated record
GGUGAGUCCUGAGAUGCUCUUAUUUCAGCAGGGAGCAUAUUCCAAAAACCCUGGGGCAGCCACAGAGAAAGCCCAGUCCUGGGACACCACCAAAUGACCCAGCGACAAUCGUAACCGGACCUCUCCAGAAGAUCGUAACAGGCGGCUGAGUUCAUGAUGAAGAAGGUGCUCUCUUAUGGCUAUAGUUCAACCGUAACCUUCCCUUCCUCCACAAAGGUUCAGGCAACAUUCAGAAAGUAUUCCUCUUUUAUCCCCACAACAAUCAGACAAGAGAGAGACUGCAAGUGGUCCGAGGCUUCACAUCAUCUUUGGGGCUGACUGAGGAAAUGUCCCUGCCUGCUAUGGGUCCUGAGCUGUGGAGGAUUCUGCUCUUUGAAUUCAACAAUUUUAAACAGGAAAAGGGU